UGAACAACUCUCGGCAACGGAUAUCUCGGCUCUUGCAUCGAUGAAGAACGUAGCGAAAUGCGAUACUUGGUGUGAAUUGCAGAAUCCCGUGAACCAUCGAGUCUUUGAACGCAAGUUGCGCCCGAGGCCUUCUGGUCGAGGGCACGUCUGCCUGGGCGUCACGC
This 164-nucleotide ribosomal RNA is filed under the name Isopyrum thalictroides. RNAcentral's name for it is "5.8S ribosomal RNA". It matches the Rfam family "5.8S ribosomal RNA". From Rfam's summary of the family: 5.8S ribosomal RNA (5.8S rRNA) is a component of the large subunit of the eukaryotic ribosome. It is transcribed by RNA polymerase I as part of the 45S precursor that also contains 18S and 28S rRNA. Functionally, it is thought that 5.8S rRNA may be involved in ribosome translocation. The record is from RNAcentral. Lineage: Eukaryota; Viridiplantae; Streptophyta; Magnoliopsida; Ranunculales; Ranunculaceae.